UAAGGGAGCUAUACCGGGAGUGCUCCACCCGAUCCCAUACCGAACUCGGAAGUGAAAUCUCCCAAGGCCGAUGAUAGUGUUUUUAAUGCGAAAGUAGGUAGCUCUCUUAC
This 110-nucleotide ribosomal RNA is filed under the name Candidatus Nealsonbacteria bacterium CG10_big_fil_rev_8_21_14_0_10_36_24. The record is from RNAcentral. Lineage: Bacteria; Candidatus Nealsoniibacteriota.